UCCCUGGUGGUCUAGUGGUCAGGAUUCGGCGAUUUCACCGCCGUUCCCUGGGUUCAAUUCCCGGCCAGGGAA
This is a non-coding RNA of Carcharodon carcharias (great white shark), 72 nucleotides long. The record is from the annotation of a RefSeq genome assembly. Lineage: Eukaryota; Metazoa; Chordata; Chondrichthyes; Lamniformes; Lamnidae.